RNAcentral lists this unclassified non-coding RNA (484 nucleotides) under Hevea brasiliensis (rubber tree). Lineage: Eukaryota; Viridiplantae; Streptophyta; Magnoliopsida; Malpighiales; Euphorbiaceae. The record is from RNAcentral.
UAGGAACUCAAGCUUUCAUUAAUUCACAUGGCUACACACUAAUAUCACACGUUCAAGGUGAACUAUUACAAAUGCUAGUUGAUAGGUACAAACUAUAGAAAAUACUAAAUCCAGGUUCAUUACAAAGCUCCCAAUCGUCAAAUCUCCACUUAACUCAGUAAACAAACUAGAUGUUGCGUGAAACAGAACUUGGCACUUGCUGUAGGAGCUGCAUCAGUGGCCAGAAGAUAUCCAGUCUAUGGAAGCUUCCUGAAGCCUCAACAAUGAAGUGAGCCCAGGUGCUCUCUGAACGCUUUUCCAUCACGCCCUUCAAAAUCGUCAGCUCCAAACGGUGAAUAACAUCAGAAAUUUCUAAGAAACGUCCAUGGUCGUCACACAUCAUCUGUUUGAAAUUGAUGUCAGCUCAAAAUUCAUAAUGCAGACAGAUGUCAGUACAGAGAUCUCAGAUUUUAGUUGUGGUGCUAGAGUAGGGAAUUCAUUUAAA